CUACGGGGGGCACCAGUGGGGAAUAUUGGACAAUGGGGGAAACCCUGAUCCAGCAAUGCCGCGUGUGUGAAGAAGGCCUGCGGGUUGUAAAGCACUUUCGGUUGGGAGGACUGCUUCUAGCACUAAUAUUGUUGGAAGUUGACGUUACCUUCAGAAGAAGCACCGGCUAACUCCGUGCCAGCAGCCGCGGUAAUACGGAGGGUGCAAGCGUUAAUCGGAAUUACUGGGCGUAAAGCGCGCGUAGGCGGCUAGAUCAGUCGGGUGUGAAAGCCCCGGGCUUAACCUGGGAACUGCAUCCGAUACUGUCUAGCUUGAGUACAGGGGAGGAGAGUGGAAUUCCACAUGUAGCGGUGAAAUGCGUAGAUAUGUGGAGGAACACCAAUGGCGAAGGCAGCUCUCUGGCCUGAUACUGACGCUGAGGUGCGAAAUCGUGGGGAGCAAACAGGAUUAGAUACCCGUGUAGUC
This 465-nucleotide ribosomal RNA is filed under the name uncultured bacterium. Its description in RNAcentral is "partial 16S ribosomal RNA". It matches the Rfam family "Bacterial small subunit ribosomal RNA", at positions 339 to 795 of the family's 1533-position model. The record is from RNAcentral.